RNAcentral lists this ribosomal RNA (207 nucleotides) under uncultured bacterium. RNAcentral describes it as "partial 16S ribosomal RNA". It matches the Rfam family "Bacterial small subunit ribosomal RNA", at positions 568 to 774 of the family's 1533-position model. The record is from RNAcentral.
UGCGUAGGCGGUUUGGCAAGUCUUAUGUGAAAUCUAUGGGCUCAACCCAUAGUCUGCAUAAGAAACUGCCGGGCUUGAGUAUGGGAGAGGUGAGUGGAAUUUCCGGUGUAGCGGUGAAAUGCGUAGAUAUCGGAAGGAACACCUGUGGCGAAAGCGGCUCACUGGACCAUAACUGACGCUGAUGCAUGAAAGCUAGGGGAGCAAACA